RNAcentral lists this unclassified non-coding RNA (4456 nucleotides) under Anneissia japonica. RNAcentral's name for it is "fanconi anemia group A protein-like, transcript variant X1". Lineage: Eukaryota; Metazoa; Echinodermata; Crinoidea; Comatulida; Comatulidae. The record is from RNAcentral.
UUGUUUUGAUUUUCGAGGUGAACAUGCCGCUUCAUCAAUCAAAAGUGGGAAAGUUACAAGUUUCUUUUGAUGAUAAUUGUCAACAUUUAAGAAGAAGAAGAAUGAUACUAUAGCUACUAAAAUAGCCCUUUUCUAAGGCCGAUCAUUCAUUGAUUUGGCAGUAGCAGUACUUAGGCUACUUCUAGCCUAGGCUAGUACAGUAGCACUAGGCUAGGUAGAACUCCUAGUGCAAUAUAUAGUCGCCGCAACAAGAGGUCUCACUUGACUUGGUCCAGCAUCUCGGAGUUGCUGCUGCUGUCUAGGCCUAGGAAAGAUUGGUGUCUAGUCCUAUGAUGGAUUUGAAAGAGGCAUUUGAAGACAAUAGUUCAAAUGCAAGAACAUUUGAGGAUCUUUUAGAAUGGCGCCACCAGUGCAGAGACACACAGUUGUCCGAAAAUAAGACAAGCUUGAAAGAUGCAGUGUUACGGUUGAUUGAUCACCAUCAGGAUGUGGAUCAACUCUUUAAAGAGUUAAAUGAAGUUCAACAGGUUAGAACAUUUGGUGCUAGCAGUUCUCAACUUACUGAUGCGAGCUAUAACCACAGAGUUGAUCAGCUGAAUGUUGAAAUGUUUGUAAGUACCCUGCAGGCUCAUGCUCAGUUGACAUCAACACCUGUGGAUGUCUUAGCAGCGCUAGCCUAUGCGAAGAACCUUCAAGCCAUCAUAGGAGAGGCAGACGAAAACACUCACCUUUUAACUGACGCCCAGCAGCAUCAAGUGCAGAUGGUGUUGAAUGGAAUUCAGAAACUGAAUAAAAUACAUGCAUUCAGCAAUUCUCAUUUCAUCAAGAAAAUUAAUACAAAAUCAUUUUUUCCUGUAGAGUUAGUUUGGAUUCUGCACAGAGAAUCGAUCAUGCCAAUCAGCAAGUUCAUCACAAACAAUUUGGGAAGACAGAAUGUGUUUGCUGCCCUCAUGCGGUGCAUAGUUUCAAUUGGUUUGCACAUCCCUGCUGAGCAGGAAAAGGCAGCAAGAAGCAAAGAAAUUGUACAAGGAUUUGUUGCAUUUUUUGUUGCCCAUGGUUACCCUGUAGGCAAUGAAGAAUCAGAAGAUUACGCUAAACGUGCCAUACAAAAGGCAUCAGUGCUUUUACUGGACACCAUUAUGAGCGACUUUUUGAAGAAAGGAGCUGAAUCGAGCAACGCCAACCACUUGAACCUGUUGGAAUUGAUAAGACAAGAUAGAAUGGUUAGCCAGGAGUCCAGCGUCAAGUUCUUCAAACACCAGCUAAUCCUACAGUUGACGUCUACUACAGAUAUCAUUGUCUCUCAAGCCAUUUUGGAACAACAUUUUUGGACAUUUGCCAAGACUGCAAGUCAUGUGACUGCAACAUAUCGUGAACUUCUGUUAUCCUUCAAGGAGGAAGAGAUAGCAGGCAUGAUUCAGAGAUUGUUAGAACACGAAGAGGUGAAUUGGCAAGCCCUCCUUAGCUUCAUCUCAACAUUCCUUGUUGUUUGUCCCAGUGCCCCAGCUUUGAUCAAAGGUUUGAUCCACAACUUUCUAUCAACAGCUGUUGAGGAGCUGGACCAAGACUUCCUCAUUAUCGCUUUGCUUCUUGCCAGACAGGCAUCCUCUGAAGGACCUCAGAUCUUUCUGCCGUACCCACAGUGGUUUAAGGAAACUUUUGGUGAAGGUAAUGCAUACAUCACAUCAAAGAAAUCCUUCACAUUUCUGAUGAAAAUCCUGACUUCACUUGUUCCAUUUGAACCAAGUCAUAUCAUCAAGGCUCAUAUUCAGAAAUCACCGCAUGCCAUCGGGAAGUGUCAGGAGCUUGUGUGUGACUACAUUUUACUGGGUAAAACAAGGCUUGCAGAUCUGAAGGAACCUUUGGAACCAGAAGGGAUCUUUGUACAGGGUCAAUCAAGUGAUGGAUCAAAAAUGAAAGUGCUUCAAGAACAAGCAGAAUCAGACAUUGAGCAAGCAAUAGCAGCAUUUGAAGUGACCAAUCAGGUUCCACUUAGCAUCAUUGAAGCAAGUAUUUUCAAAUACCCCUAUUUUAUGGGCCGAUUUCUACCAGUGCUACUUAAACCAAGAAUGUUACCUGAUGUUCCCGAUUCCAGGAUGAAAUUGAUUGAAAGUCUUAAAAACCUUGGUAAGAUUCCAGUAAGAAUGAUAGAGAAAUACAAAGAGGCCUGUCAAAAAGAACUCAACUCUCUUUUAGAAGGAAUUGAUAUGGAAGAUGAUGAUUGUGACAUGCUUGAGCCUAUGGAUGCCCUUAAGAAGAGUAUGGACAACCUUGUCAAGGCUGUCACAGGUUUACAACCAAAGACAGAAAGUUUAAACCAUCAGCUUGCAGUUAUAUCAGACAGACUUCAGACAGUUUUUUGCGAUGAAAUCAGGCCGGCUGACCUUUCAACUAAAGAUGAACUCUUGAACCUUGACAUGCAAUCACCUUCACUCACACCACUACAAGUGGAGGUGACAGAAGUAAUUUUAAAUGGUUUUUGCCGGGCUUGUCUUGAGAAUGAAAAGGUCAUUGUUCAUUGGGCUGACAACUUUGUUUCAAUGCUUAGUCAAUUUCAACUUGUUCUGAAGUCACUGAUGUUAAGGCUGUGUACAUUACUUUUACAUCAGGGACCACAGCUGGAGCAAUCACAUCGUCAUUGUCUUUCCAUCCUCCUGGUUCAUCUUUAUAGAAAACAAGAUGUUGUUCCCAUGGUAACCAUAACAGGGCAUGGGAUAAGAAAUGAGACUAGCUGUGGCCCAUUUCUCCAAAUUGUAGCCAAAUUACUCUGCAAUGACACAGGCGAUAAGAUGAAAUUUGUGCUUCAAUUAUCUACAGCAGUCAUCAUGUAUUCAUUGCAUCUUAAUGAAUCAAAUAAUUUGUCAGCACAAAUAAUUCCAGAAAUUUUGGUUGAAAAGUUUUUAUAUCUGGUACCAAGGCUGCACCCAGAUGCGAGAUAUGCAGCUUCUCAUGAAUUGAAUGAGUCUUCAGAUGCAUCUGUAAAAUUAUAUUUAUCACCGAAGUUCAAUGAACUUUGUGAGGUGCGUUCGUUGAAGCUAUCGUUGAACCAGUGGAUAUGCAAUGAGAUUCUUGUACAGCCUCAUCUGGAUCUCAUCACAUUUCUUGAAAGAAAAGAAUACCACAGGUGGAUGGUAACUGAAAAGUGUUAUCCUGAAUAUGCCGAUUACAUGGAAGUAUGUUCGGUGCUUUUCAAGGAACUUGUAGAAUACAGUAAAACCAUUGGACUUCAGUCAGGACUGUAUGUCCAUAAUGGAUGUCUCCACCAUCUUGAGCAGCAAUCCCUGAAUGCAACCAAUGAAAAUGGCAGCCAAGGAGAAAUGCUGCAGCUGCUACAGGAGAUGACUCAGUCGACUUACUUGAGAGGGUCUACAGAUGAUAGGAUGAAUGUUGAGAAAGGCAGUUGGAUGAUGGAUACAAUUCAGAAGAUAUUAGCUGUUGGAGAAAAAGAGGACAAAGCUCUUGAAACUGCCUGUAUUGUGAACAUUAUUACUAGCCUACCAGCUCACUUACUGGUGUCCAAUACUCCUGGAGAUCGCUCAGCUGCUGUCCACACCUUGAAUCAUCUGAUAAGCUUUAUCAACACCAACUUAAGACAAAACCUUAUGGAGACCAUCUAUUCUCUACCUCCACAUGUGACAUCCUAUUUUGCAAGGAUGCUUGGUUAUUUGGGUUCAUCUUAUAUCCAUCAACUGAAGACAGCCUGUCCCCUUUUAAUCUCUUCUUUGUUGGUACAUAUAAAGAAACUGAUUUCAAGUUUUUCCAGAGUGUCGAAGAGUAAUUCCACAUCACAGCUAUUUAAGGAUUUAACUUCCUUAAAAGCUCACGCUGAAGAAUUAAUGACCAGUUCACGCCCUCUACAGUUUUCUGCAACACAGAAUGCAGAUGUAUGGUUUAUCAGUGUAGCAUUGUUCACAUUUCCGAAAGAAAAGCUAUGCUCUUAUUUACAAAGACUUGCAAAAUCCAAAACGGUUUUAGAAUUCCUAUUUGAAUUAGUAAUUGCAGAUGUGGCACAUUCCAUUCUCAUUGGAAGGGAGGUCUCAGUGAAUCUUCAGCUUGCACAGAAUAUUCUAGAAAUUAGUCCUGAAAGUCAGAUUAUCCUAACAAAAAAUUCACUUCUGAAGUCUAGUGUUGCUCCUCAAACUGUUAUACAAAUGAUGCCACUAGCCUUAUUCAGAGACCAAAGCUGCUGAAGACCAUGUAACCCUGGUCCCAGAAGUGGUUUUUAAUUGGAGGGAAACCUAUAUUAGGUUCCAGGGGAAUGAGUAAACAUGAGGCUAUUAAGCAGGCACGGAUCUAGACCUUUGCACUGUUCGCUAUGGCAUGAGACAGGAGUUUAUUUGGGAGUGUCUGCAGCAAUGAGGGUUGAUUAUGUCAAUAAGCCAGGUGUUCUUCAAACUCUACUCAUUCAACAUCAACAGUUAGUGAACCUAUACACCAGAGUCAGCCAUGAUCAUCC